RNAcentral lists this ribosomal RNA (674 nucleotides) under bacterium IMCC7199. RNAcentral describes it as "bacterial SSU rRNA". It matches the Rfam family "Bacterial small subunit ribosomal RNA", at positions 28 to 750 of the family's 1533-position model. The record is from RNAcentral. RNAcentral also lists the same sequence under 13 other names.
AACGAACGCUGGCGGCAGGCCUAACACAUGCAAGUCGAGCGCACCUUCGGGUGAGCGGCGGACGGGUUAGUAACGCGUGGGAACGUACCCUUUUCUACGGAAUAGCCUUUGGAAACGAAGAGUAAUACCGUAUACGCCCUUUGGGGGAAAGAUUUAUCGGAGAAGGAUCGGCCCGCGUUAGAUUAGAUAGUUGGUGGGGUAACGGCCUACCAAGUCUACGAUCUAUAGCUGGUUUUAGAGGAUGAUCAGCAACACUGGGACUGAGACACGGCCCAGACUCCUACGGGAGGCAGCAGUGGGGAAUCUUAGACAAUGGGCGCAAGCCUGAUCUAGCCAUGCCGCGUGAGUGAUGAAGGCCUUAGGGUCGUAAAGCUCUUUCGCCUGUGAUGAUAAUGACAGUAGCAGGUAAAGAAACCCCGGCUAACUCCGUGCCAGCAGCCGCGGUAAUACGGAGGGGGUUAGCGUUGUUCGGAAUUACUGGGCGUAAAGCGCACGUAGGCGGAUUGGAAAGUUGGGGGUGAAAUCCCGGGGCUCAACCCCGGAACUGCCUCCAAAACUAUCAGUCUAGAGUUCGAGAGAGGUGAGUGGAAUUCCAAGUGUAGAGGUGAAAUUCGUAGAUAUUUGGAGGAACACCAGUGGCGAAGGCGGCUCACUGGCUCGAUACUGACGCUGAG